Molecule: ribosomal RNA, 497 nt
Filed under: uncultured bacterium
Lineage: Bacteria
Description: partial 16S ribosomal RNA
Rfam family: Bacterial small subunit ribosomal RNA
Source: RNAcentral
GAUGAACGCUGGCGGCGUGCCUAAUACAUGCCAGUCGAGCGAACAGACGAGGAGCUUGCUCCUCUGACGUUAGCGGCGGACGGGUGAGUAACACGUGGAUAACCUACCUAUAAGACUGGGAUAACUUCGGGAAACCGGAGCUAAUACCGGAUAAUAUAUUGAACCGCAUGGUUCAAUAGUGAAAGACGGUUUUGCUGUCACUUAUAGAUGGAUCCGCGCCGCAUUAGCUAGUUGGUAAGGUAACGGCUUACCAAGGCGACGAUGCGUAGCCGACCUGAGAGGGUGAUCGGCCACACUGGAACUGAGACACGGUCCAGACUCCUACAGGAGGCAGCAGUAGGGAAUCUUCCGCAAUGGGCGAAAGCCUGACGGAGCAACGCCGCGUGAGUGAUGAAGGUCUUCGGAUCGUAAAACUCUGUUAUUAGGGAAGAACAAAUGUGUAAGUAACUAUGCAUGUCUUGACGGUACCUAAUCAGAAAGCCACGGCUAACUACGUG